GGUUCGAUCCCCAUGUAGGACAAGCAUUUGUAUGUUCCAUGAAUGAUUGUCGCUAGUCUGGGACUUCGUUUGAAAAAAAUACUUAACUACUUAUACCUACCUAAAUUGGCUAAAUUGCCAAUAUAAUUGAUAGGCAACUGUCAACAGCCCCGUCCGUAACACAAUUUAAUUAUCGUUUCAAGUGCCUAAACGUUAUUCAGAUCACAGACACUUCAUUUCGACCAAUUCUCUUUCGCUUUUGUGGCGAUAUUAAUUCGCACACAAUGCUAAAACAAUUAAACGUCAAAAUUAUUCGUCAUUCAUUGGAAUGUCUUAAUUAAGUCUUAUAAUAGGAUGAAAUUAUUGAAUUUUCAGCUGUACGGUGAUCAUUUGAGUUCCAUUCAACGGUGAAAACUUAUGAGGUGUCUGAUCUGAGUGUAAAGUAGUCAUAAAAAUUAUGUUAAGUGCGAGUCUGACUUGCGGCACAGGGUUUCAUAUAAAUAGGGUAAAAAAACAAACUAUAAAACUUGCCACCCUUCAAGUUUAUUAUUAACCCAUCGCUUGAUCUAAUAGAUACGCGACCAUGUUCCUUUCUUUGCCAUUCGUGCACCGGAGCGACGGUAAUUUUUUCGAACAAUCCCACUGCCCGGGCAGGUAUCAGCCGUAGGUACUGGGCUCCACAGAGAUGAAUUCAAAGUUUUAUUGCUUCUUAUAGAAGCAACAGGAAUACACUAUCAAUGAAAUUUCGCUACUACGGGUCAUGAGUUGCAGCCUUGUGCUAGACGGACGUUGAAGGUAGUUGAGUAACAGGGUUGCGUUUAUAUCCUUUUGUACAACCACAAAAACGGACUUCCGGUUUGUGUUUGUUGACUAACACAUGUGGAGUUUCUUCUAUUAAGCUUUUGGGCAGUAGAAGUUUGUUUUUUCGACUGUAUUUUGAGUGCGUCUUAUAUAUUUGUGUGUGUCCUGUGUGUUUUGUGUUUUUGUGUGUUCAAUUUACUGGCAGCGAAAUAUCGCCUGAAAAAACUUAAAAGUUUUAAGCCCGCAGAAUACCCAUGUGUGGUCACUACGCGACACUGGCAGUAAUUGUUGCGCAAGUUAGCAGAUUGCCAAAACACUAAAAAAAAAAAAAAAAAAAAAAAAA
Long non-coding RNA from Trichoplusia ni (cabbage looper), 1123 nucleotides. RefSeq lists it as uncharacterized. Lineage: Eukaryota; Metazoa; Arthropoda; Insecta; Lepidoptera; Noctuidae. The transcript is spliced from 2 exons. The record is from RefSeq and is a predicted model, not a curated record.